GACGAACGCUGGCGGCGUGCUUAACACAUGCAAGUCGAACGGAAAGGCCCUGCUUGCAGGGUACUCGAGUGGCGAACGGGUGAGUAACACGUGGGUGAUCUGCCCUGCACUUCGGGAUAAGCCUGGGAAACUGGGUCUAAUACCGGAUAGUAGCCAUUGUUAGUGUGAUGGUUGGAAAGUUUUUUCGGUGUAGGAUGAGCUCGCGGCCUAUCAGCUUGUUGGUGGGGUAAUGGCCUACCAAGGCGGCGACGGGUAGCCGGCCUGAGAGGGUGGACGGCCACAUUGGGACUGAGAGAAGGCCCAGACUCCGACGGGAGGCAGCAGGGGGGAAGAUUGCACAAUGGGCGCAAGCCUGAUGCAGCGACGCCGCGUGGGGGAUGACGGCCUUCGGGUUGUAAACUCCUUUCGCUAGGGACGAAGCUUUUUGUGACGGUACCUAGAUAAGAAGCACCGGCUAACUACGUG
This 465-nucleotide ribosomal RNA is filed under the name uncultured bacterium. RNAcentral describes it as "partial 16S ribosomal RNA". It matches the Rfam family "Bacterial small subunit ribosomal RNA", at positions 28 to 507 of the family's 1533-position model. The record is from RNAcentral.